RNAcentral lists this ribosomal RNA (252 nucleotides) under uncultured bacterium. Its description in RNAcentral is "partial 16S ribosomal RNA". It matches the Rfam family "Bacterial small subunit ribosomal RNA", at positions 16 to 263 of the family's 1533-position model. The record is from RNAcentral.
AUCCUGGCUCAGGACGAACGCUGGCGGCGCGCCUAACACAUGCAAGUCGAACGAGAGAGAAGGAGCUUGCUUCUUCGAUCGAGUGGCGAACGGGUGAGUAACGCGUGAGGAACCUGCCUCAAAGAGGGGGACAACAGUUGGAAACGACUGCUAAUACCGCAUAAGCCCACGGGUCGGCAUCGACCUAAGGGAAAAGGAGUGAUCCGCUUUGAGAUGGCCUCGCGUCCGAUUAGCUAGUUGGUGAGGUAACGG